UUCUUUUUAAAUUGUUAAGGUUUCACAGUUCAGAAUGUGUUCUACGUUCUAUGUUCUAUCUGAGCUAGGGAAGAAUGUGUAUUCUGUUGUUGGAUGAAGUAGUCUACAGAUGUCAGUUAUAUCCAAAUCCUCAGCUGCAUUUUGCAUUAUUUCCAGAGUUCUUGGUUGUAAUCAGUGGAGAGACAGGCUGUGGAAGACUUACCCCAUUUCGAUCAACACCAGGUGAAAAGGGCUGAGUUCAGAGCACUUCUCGACAGAUGAACAUAUGGAGGUUGACAGGAAGGGAACAAAAACUCAUCCAUGUACCAACAGUGGAGGACUCCACCUCCACAGGGACAAAAUCUCCUGUGCUCAGGACCCUUCCAAGUCUUGCCCUAUGUAUCUCUUUAUCUGUUUGUAUCCUUUGAAAUAAACCAGUAAACCAAA
Molecule: long non-coding RNA, 426 nt
Filed under: Homo sapiens (human)
Lineage: Eukaryota; Metazoa; Chordata; Mammalia; Primates; Hominidae
Description: HSALNT0367675
Source: RNAcentral